RNAcentral lists this ribosomal RNA (900 nucleotides) under Lentilactobacillus buchneri. RNAcentral describes it as "bacterial SSU rRNA". It matches the Rfam family "Bacterial small subunit ribosomal RNA", at positions 598 to 1481 of the family's 1533-position model. Lineage: Bacteria; Bacillati; Bacillota; Bacilli; Lactobacillales; Lactobacillaceae. The record is from RNAcentral.
AGCCUUUCGGCUUUAACCCGGAGAAAGUGCAUCGGGAAACCCGAGAGACCUGAAGUGCCAAAAGAGGCACAGUGGAAUCUCCCAUGUGUAGCCGGUGAAAAUGCCGUAGAUAUAUGGAAGAAACACCAGUGGCGAAGGGCGGCUGUCUGGUCUGUAACUGACGCUGAGGCUCGAAAAGCAUGGGUAGCGAACAGGAUUAGAUACCCUGGUAGUCCAUGCCGUAAACGAUGAGUGCUAAGUGUUGGAGGGUUUCCGCCCUUCAGUGCUGCAGCUAACGCAUUAAGCAUUCCGCCUGGGGAGUACGACCGCAAGGUUGAAACUCAAAGGAAUUGACGGGGGCCCGCACAAGCGGUGGAGCAUGUGGUUUAAUUCGAUGCUACGCGAAGAACCUUACCAGGUCUUGACAUCUUCUGCCAACCUAAGAGAUUAGGCGUUCCCUUCGGGGACAGAAUGACAGGUGGUGCAUGGUUGUCGUCAGCUCGUGUCGUGAGAUGUUGGGUUAAGUCCCGCAACGAGCGCAACCCUUAUUGUUAGUUGCCAGCAUUCAGUUGGGCACUCUAGCAAGACUGCCGGUGACAAACCGGAGGAAGGUGGGGAUGACGUCAAAUCAUCAUGCCCCUUAUGACCUGGGCUACACACGUGCUACAAUGGACGGUACAACGAGUCGCGAAACCGCGAGGUCAAGCUAAUCUUUUAAAGCCGUUCUCAGUUCGGAUUGUAGGCUGCAACUCGCCUACAUGAAGUGGGAAUCGCUAGUAAUCGUGGAUCAGCAUGCCACGGUGAAUACGUUCCCGGGCCUUGUACACACCGCCCGUCACACCAUGAGAGUUUGUACACACCCAAAGCCGGUGAGGUAACCUUGCGGAGACCAGCCGUCUAAGGUGUAAAAGAAAGAAGGGA